Malania oleifera is the source of this 2186-nucleotide long non-coding RNA. RefSeq lists it as uncharacterized. The record is from RefSeq and is a predicted model, not a curated record. The transcript has 2 exons. Lineage: Eukaryota; Viridiplantae; Streptophyta; Magnoliopsida; Santalales; Ximeniaceae.
GCUAAAGGAAAGUAAAAAAAAAAAGGGUAAUAAAAGGCUAGGGUUUUAAUAAGUUUUUUUAGGUUUUCCUGGGAGUGCUUUGGUGAUGGAGCAGUAGGGGGGUCUUGGGGAUUGGGAGCUGCGCCGCUGCUGAUGGAGGACUCCUCAACUCCACGGCCAUUCCAUCUCCUUCUCUCAUCUCAUUCUCCAUUACUCUCUCUUUUUCCAUUGCUUUCAUUUACUUGUUUUAUUUCAUUUAAUGUUAUUUUAAAAUUCUUGUUGAACCUUUGCUUUUAAUUAUUUUACUUUAAUGUUAAUUUAAUAUUUUGUUGGAACUUUGCUUUGGUUUAAAAUCUAGUUAAUUUUAUUGAAGUCAUUGUUGGGAGUUACUUUUAAUUAAGUCGUUAUUAAGUUUAGUUUAUUUUAAUUUUUUUAAGAUCUUAUUUGGCUUUCUUUAUUUAAUGCUUUUGCUUGGUCAAGUGUUAUUUCUUCAACAUUUUGUUUAAGUUUUUUUUGGAUUAAAUCAUUUUCGUUAAGAACUUAUCUCUUGAAUUUUUAUUUAAGUUAUUAUUAGGUUGAGAUUAAUGAACUUGGAUUGGGUUAUUUGUGAUUUAAGAUCUUGUUUGGUUUAUUUUUUGUUUAGAUUAUUAUUGUGUUGAGUUUAGUUUGCUAUUGAAUGUUUUUGUGUUUUUGUUAAAUUAAUGAAAUUCUCAUCUUGGGUCACUAUUCAAAUGUUUAGAUAUCGAGUUGUUUAGUUGGUUAAUUUCCUUAUAGUCAUUUUAUUAGUUGAAUGAACCAUUGGAUCAAAAUAUUAGUUGUGUUGAUUUUCCCGUCAUUUGUUACUGUUAUUCAUUUCUCGUCAUUUACUUUAUGUGUGUUAGGUUCAUAGUUUAGGUCUCACGUCUUUUCAAUUUCACCACAAUUUUCAAAACCCCCAAGAUUUCGAAUUUGAACUAUGUUUAGUAAAAUUGUUUUCAUAUUUUCUUUUUACUGUUUUGCACUAGUUUAAAACUAAUCUACAUUCCUUGAGGAGACGAUCUAGUAUAUUUGGACUAAUUAUUACACAACGUAACUCCUAUACUUGAGAUAGCCAUAGUGCUACUCAUUUUUAGAAGUGAGUCAAGUUUUUGGAGCCAUUGUCGGUGAAUAUCAGAAUUAGUUUCAAACUAGUGUUUUUCCUGUUAUUUUAAUUUUUCUAAUAAAAAAAUAAAAAAAAAUAAAGAAAACAAGUUUUGGAGAAAGUAUGGCUGCACCUGUACCACACAGUCUUAUAGAUUUUUUGCAGCCUACAUGCACCAUUGCACCAUCUUACACUGUUUUAUCUGAUAGCACACUUAAUUUGAUGACUCAACGUGGGAGGACAUCAUUGAUACCUCAGUUCUACGGGACAAAAUCUGAGUGUCCUUAUCAGCAUCCGACAGAGUUUGAGUUGACUUGCAAUAAUUGUUUUCCUAGAGAUAGAACUGAUGAAUUUACUAGACUUCAUUUAUUACUUCUUCUUUGAAGGAUAGAGCGAAGUUGUGGUUUAAUUCUUUGAUGCCUCAUUCUGUCUCCAAUUGGGCUGAUAUGGAACAUGAAUUUCUGCAUAAGUUUUGUCCCUCAUAGAGAAUUCAAUUUUUGCAGGAACAAAUCAUUCAAUUUAUGCAGAAGGGUGACGAGACUUUUCGGGCUUGCUGGGAGAGGUUCAAGGAUCUGAUAAAGAUUUGUCCAUAUCACGGGUUUGAAUCAUGGAGGACAAUUUUUGGACAUUAAAGAUGUAUGCAGGUUGUGAGCAUAAAGAGGUGUCGUGUAUGUGAGGCGGAGUCUAAAUCAAGACCGUGAGCAUCCGAGAUUUUCAUGGGCAUUUAAAGGAUAAUUUUCGGAAGCUAAGCCAUGCACGCAAAGAGAGGCCGUUUUCGACACUACUUCAUAGUAUGAGCGUAACUUUCUCGUCCGACCUCCGAUCGUGAUAAUUUAAAAUGCUAUGGAAAGCCGAGAAAAUUCUAUACAACUUUCAUGUUUAGAAUUUUGAGAUUUACUGACUAUAGGAAGGUCGAAAUUGGGCUUGUGCACUAGAAAACAAAAAAAGAAAAAAGAAGAAACAAGAAAAUAAAAUAAAAUAAAAUAAAUAAAGUGGGUUGGGUCUUUGAAAACUAAGAUGUAGUCCCAAGAAGGGGGUGAAUUGGAUUUAAAAAAUUUUUCUCUUAAUUCCUUUUUAGACUUCUUAA